This 424-nucleotide ribosomal RNA is filed under the name uncultured bacterium. RNAcentral describes it as "bacterial SSU rRNA". It matches the Rfam family "Bacterial small subunit ribosomal RNA", at positions 105 to 525 of the family's 1533-position model. The record is from RNAcentral.
GGUGAGUAAUGUCUGGGAAACUGCCUGAUAGAGGGGGAUAACUACUGGAAACGGUAGCUAAUACCGCAUAAUGUCACAAGACCAAAGAGGGGGACCUUCGGGCCUCUUGCCAUCAGAUGUGCCCAGAUGGGAUUAGCUAGUAGGUGGGGUAAUGGCUCACCUAGGCGACGAUCCCUAGCUGGUCUGAGAGGAUGACCAGCCACACUGGAACUGACCCACGGUCCAGACUCCUACGGGAGGCAGCAUUGGGGAAUAUUGCACAAUGGGCGCAAGCCUGAUGCAGCCGUGCCGCGUGUAUGAAGAAGGCCUUCGGGUUGUAAAGUACUUUCAGCGAGGAGGAAGGUGUUGUGGUUAAUAACCGCAGUAAUUGACGUUACUCGCGGGAAGAACACCGGCUAACUCCGUGCCAGCAGCCGCGGUAAUA